AUUAUGACAUCAGUGCUAAGAGCAACUAUAAUUUUGAAAAGCCAUUCUUAUGGUUGGCAAGAAAAUUAGUUGGUGAUUCUAAUCUAGAAUUUGUUGCAAUGCCAGCUUUAGCUCCACCUGAAGUUACUAUGGAUCCAGAAUUGCGAGAAAAACUUGAAAAUGACAUGAAGGAAGCACAAAAUGCCUCACUUCCAGAUGAAGAUGAUGACGAUCUUUGAGAAUGAUAAAUUAUUCUUUAACUUGUUAAAAAUUUAUAAGAGCAAAGUAUAUUCUAGAAAUCUGAUGUUUUUUCUUUUUUGUACAGUAAAUUGAUGUGUGAUUUUAAUUUUCACAAAACAAAUGGAUUGUUUAAAUUUAGAAUGUCUUCAAUCUUAAAUUAGAACUUCACAUAAAUCUUAUUUUUUGGUUAUGUACAGAAAUAAAUUUUGGAGAUAAUUUGUAAAGAAGACACAAAUUUAAUCUUAACCUGUCAGUAUAGUUUGAAAAUAUCAAUCUCUACAUUUAAUGCCUUUAAUUAAAAUAUGCAAAUCUAAAAAUUGUCUAAAUUUCCCUUGUAAAGCUUAUCAAAACAUUAAUAUGUGCUACACUGCAUAGGUUUAUAUUUAAGAAGAAAAACUCAAUAGUAAACUGUUUUAAAUUUGUCAAAUAUCAGAAUUGAAUGAGAAAAUAAAUGGUUUAGUAUGGCUGAUUUUUUUGUGUUAGUUUGUAUGUUAAUUCAGAAGAGAAACAAUUUCAUUGAAACAGAUUAUAUGUGUAUGUAUAUAAAUAUAUAUAAAUACAUUAGAUUUGUGAAUUUUAAUCUAAAUAUUCACAAAGUUUUCCUAACACUAAAAGUAAAAAUAAGCAUUUUCUAAUUAGAUCUUUUCAAUUAAGUAUUCUAUAAACUUGUAAUAUGUUAUAUAUGGUAAUUAUCUUUGUUGUUUACUAAUAUAAAUGCUUUAUUUAAAAAUACAAAUGCUUUUAUUUCAACAAAAAUUUUAAGAAAUUUAAUUUUAGAAACAUAAAUUCCAGUUGAGAAAAGAUAAUAGUAGAUAAUUUUUCCAUCUCUAAAUCUUUUCUUUUCAUGUGUAUGUGCACAUUUGUAUGAUUGGUAGUUUUAUAUAUCUGAUGUUUGUAUUUAUGGGUUCUAAAUACUGUUAAUUCAUUGCAUUGCUGCUGUUUUUAAGAGUGAAAUUGUAUGAAAUGUAUAAAUUCAAAUAUUUUUCAAUAAAAUUUAAAUUAAUA
Molecule: long non-coding RNA, 1224 nt
Organism: Centruroides sculpturatus (bark scorpion)
Lineage: Eukaryota; Metazoa; Arthropoda; Arachnida; Scorpiones; Buthidae
Exons: 2
Source: RefSeq, a predicted model, not a curated record